Molecule: non-coding RNA, 402 nt
Organism: Pelodiscus sinensis (Chinese soft-shelled turtle)
Lineage: Eukaryota; Metazoa; Chordata; Testudines; Trionychidae
Source: the annotation of a RefSeq genome assembly
AUGUCACUUGAACCGUUUGUGCUUCUGAGCUCCACAGCUGCCAACAUGAUCUCCCAGAUUCAGUUUCUCUGGCUCCUUGUGCUCUGCAUUCAGGACUCCAUUGGGCAGAUUGUGGUGACUCAGACUCCAGAAUCCCUGGCAGUGUCUCCUGGAGACACAGUCACUAUCCGCUGCAAAACCAGUUCCAGCGUAGGCAGCUACAUGAAUCUGUACCAGCAGAAAUCAGGACAAGAGCCUAAACUCCUUAUCUAUCGUGCUUCUAACCGUCCCUCUGGGAUCCCAGACCGGUUCAGUGGCAGCGGGUCUGGCACCGACUUCACAUUCACCAUCAGCAGGGUUGAAGCGGAUGAUGCUGGAGAUUAUUACUGUCAGUGUUACUACAGUAGCUCUCUCACACAGUGA